UACAUAGGGUGCGAGCGUUGUCCGGAAUUAUUGGGCGUAAAGAGCUCGUAGGCGGCCUGUCGCGUCGGAUGUGAAAGCCCGGGGCUUAACCCCGGGUCUGCAUUCGAUACGGGCAGGCUAGAGUGUGGUAGGGGAGAUCGGAAUUCCUGGUGUAGCGGUGAAAUGCGCAGAUAUCAGGAGGAACACCGGUGGCGAAGGCGGAUCUCUGGGCCAUUACUGACGCUGAGGAGCGAAAGCGUGGGGAGCGAACAGG
RNAcentral lists this ribosomal RNA (253 nucleotides) under uncultured bacterium. RNAcentral's name for it is "partial 16S ribosomal RNA". It matches the Rfam family "Bacterial small subunit ribosomal RNA", at positions 524 to 776 of the family's 1533-position model. The record is from RNAcentral.